RNAcentral lists this microRNA precursor (75 nucleotides) under Schistosoma curassoni. Its description in RNAcentral is "mir-3492 microRNA precursor family". It matches the Rfam family "mir-3492 microRNA precursor family". Lineage: Eukaryota; Metazoa; Platyhelminthes; Trematoda; Strigeidida; Schistosomatidae. The record is from Rfam by way of RNAcentral.
AGUUUUCUGUAUCCGUGGAGACUUCCUCACACACCAGACCACAAGAGAUGAUGAGACUUCCCAGAAAGUGAAGCG